This 474-nucleotide ribosomal RNA is filed under the name uncultured bacterium. Its description in RNAcentral is "partial 16S ribosomal RNA". It matches the Rfam family "Bacterial small subunit ribosomal RNA", at positions 356 to 821 of the family's 1533-position model. The record is from RNAcentral.
AGGGAAUCUUCCACAAUGGACGCAAGUCUGAUGGAGCAACGCCGCGUGAGUGAAGAAGGUCUUCGGAUCGUAAAGCUCUGUUGUUGGUGAAGGAAGGAUAGAGGCAGUAACUGGUCUUUAUUUGACGGUAAUCAACCAGAAAGUCACGGCUAACUACGUGCCAGCAGCCGCGGUAAUACGUAGGUGGCAAGCGUUGUCCGGAUUUAUUGGGCGUAAAGCGAGCGCAGGCGGAAUGAUAAGUCUGAUGUGAAAGCCCACGGCUCAACCGUGGAACUGCAUCGGAAACUGUCAUUCUUGAGUGCAGAAGAGGAGAGUGGAACUCCAUGUGUAGCGGUGGAAUGCGUAGAUAUAUGGAAGAACACCAGUGGCGAAGGCGGCUCUCUGGUCUGCAACUGACGCUGAGGCUCGAAAGCAUGGGUAGCGAACAGGAUUAGAUACCCUGGUAGUCCAUGCCGUAAACGAUGAGCGCUAGGU